This 253-nucleotide ribosomal RNA is filed under the name uncultured bacterium. RNAcentral's name for it is "partial 16S ribosomal RNA". It matches the Rfam family "Bacterial small subunit ribosomal RNA", at positions 524 to 776 of the family's 1533-position model. The record is from RNAcentral.
GACGUAGGGCGCGAGCGUUGUCCGGAUUUAUUGGGCGUAAAGAGCGUGUAGGCGGCCAGAUAGGUCUGCUGUGAAAACUCGAGGCUCAACCUCGAGAUGUCGGCGGAAACCAUUUGGCUAGAGUCCGGAAGAGGAAAGUGGAAUUCCUGGUGUAGCGGUGAAAUGCGCAGAUAUCAGGAAGAACACCCGUGGCGAAGGCGGCUUUCUGGGACGGUACUGACGCUGAGACGCGAAAGCGUGGGGAGCGAACAGG